CGUUGAUUGGAACCCACACCUAGUGCCCAACGUUUACGGCAUGGACUACCAGGGUAUCUAAUCCUGUUUGCUACCCAUGCUUUCGCUCCUCAGCGUCAGUUUCAGUCCAGAGCGGCGCCUUCGCCACCGGUGUUCCUCCUAAUAUCUGCGCAUUUCACCGCUACACUAGGAAUUCCCCGCUCCCCUCCUGAACUCAAGUCACAGCAGUAUCGGAUGGCCUCUCCGGGUUGAGCCCAGAGUUUUAACACCCGACUUACUAAACCGCCUACGAGCUCUUUACGCCCAAUAAAUCCGGACAACGCUUGGAGCCUACGUGUCACCGCGGCUGCUGGCACGUAGUUGGCCGCUCCUUCUUCUGCAGGUACCGUCAUUUUCGUUCCUGCUGAAAGCAGUUUACAGCCCGAAGGCUUCAUCCCGCA
RNAcentral lists this ribosomal RNA (419 nucleotides) under uncultured bacterium. Its description in RNAcentral is "partial 16S ribosomal RNA". The record is from RNAcentral.